GUGCUCUCUUUGGCAGCACAUACACUAAAACUGAAACAACAGAGGUUAGCAUGGCCCCUGCACCAGAAUGACAUGCAAGUUCGUGCAGUGUCCCGUUAAAAA
This is a small nuclear RNA of Lontra canadensis (Northern American river otter), 102 nucleotides long. Lineage: Eukaryota; Metazoa; Chordata; Mammalia; Carnivora; Mustelidae. The record is from RefSeq and is a predicted model, not a curated record.